This 253-nucleotide ribosomal RNA is filed under the name uncultured bacterium. Its description in RNAcentral is "partial 16S ribosomal RNA". It matches the Rfam family "Bacterial small subunit ribosomal RNA", at positions 524 to 776 of the family's 1533-position model. The record is from RNAcentral.
UACGUAGGGGGCUAGCGUUGUCCGGAAUCAUUGGGCGUAAAGAGCGUGUAGGCGGCCCGGUAAGUCCGCUCUGAAAGUCCAGGGCUCAACCCUGGGAUGCGGGUGGAUACUGUCGGGCUCGAGUCCGGAAGAGGCGAGUGGAAUUCCCGGUGUAGCGGUGAAAUGCGCAGAUAUCGGGAGGAACACCAAUGGCGAAGGCAGCUCGCUGGGACGUGACUGACGCUGAGACGCGAAAGCGUGGGGAGCAAACAGG